UGGGGAAUCUUGCACAAUGGGCGCAAGCCUGAUGCAGCAACGCCGCGUGAGUGAAGAAGGCUCUUGGGUUGUAAAGCUCUUUCGACUGGAAAGAAGGGAAGUCUGUCUAAUAUAUGGACUUUCUGACGGUACCAGCAGAAGAAGCACCGGCUAAUUCCGUGCCAGCAGCCGCGGUAAUACGGAAGGUGCAAGCGUUGUUCGGAUUGACUGGGCGUAAAGCGCACGUAGGCGGGUUUGUAAGUCGGAUGUGAAAGCCCCGGGCUCAACCUGGGAACUGCACCCGAAACUACACAUCUUGAAUGCCUGAGAGGUUGGUAGAAUUCCAGGUGUAGGAGUGAAAUCCGUAGAUAUCUGGAGGAACAUCAGAGGCGAAGGCGGCCAACUAGCGGUGCAUUGACGCUGAGGUGCGAAAGCGUGGGGAGCAAACAGGAUUAGAUACCCCCGUAGUCC
Molecule: ribosomal RNA, 450 nt
Filed under: uncultured prokaryote
Description: bacterial SSU rRNA
Rfam family: Bacterial small subunit ribosomal RNA
Source: RNAcentral